RNAcentral lists this ribosomal RNA (468 nucleotides) under uncultured bacterium. RNAcentral's name for it is "partial 16S ribosomal RNA". It matches the Rfam family "Bacterial small subunit ribosomal RNA", at positions 28 to 507 of the family's 1533-position model. The record is from RNAcentral.
GACGAACGCUGGCGGCGUGCUUAACACAUGCAAGUCGAACGGAAAGGCCCUGCUUUUGUGGGGUGCUCGAGUUGCGAACGGGUGAGUAACACGUGAGUAACCUGCCCCUGACUUUGGGAUAACUUCAGGAAACUGGGGCUAAUACCGGAUAGGAGCUCCUGCUGCAUGGUGGGGGUUGGAAAGUUUCGGCGGUUGGUGAUGGACUCGCGGCCUAUCAGCUUGUUGGUGGGGUAGUGGCUUACCAAGGCUUUGACGGGUAGCCGGCCUGAGAGGGUGACCGGCCACAUUGGGACUGAGAUACGGCCCAGACUCCUCCGGGAGGCAGCGGUGGGGAAUAGUGCACAAUGGGCGGAAGCCUGAUGCAGCAACGCCGCGUGCGGGAUGACGGCCUUCGGGUUGUAAACCGCUUUCGCCUGUGACGAAGCGUGAGUGACGGUAAUGGGUAAAGAAGCACCGGCUAACUACGUG